Molecule: ribosomal RNA, 425 nt
Filed under: uncultured cyanobacterium
Lineage: Bacteria; Bacillati; Cyanobacteriota
Description: bacterial SSU rRNA
Rfam family: Bacterial small subunit ribosomal RNA
Source: RNAcentral
GGGGAAUUUUCCGCAAUGGGCGAAAGCCUGACGGAGCAAUACCGCGUGAGGGAUGACGGCCUAUGGGUUGUAAACCUCUUUUUUCAGGGAGGAAUCAAUGACGUGUACCUGAAGAAUAAGCAUCGGCUAACUCCGUGCCAGCAGCCGCGGUAAGACGGAGGAUGCAAGUGUUAUCCGGAAUCACUGGGCGUAAAGCGUCUGUAGGUGGUUUAAUAAGUCAACUGUUAAAUCUUGAGGCUCAACCUCAAAAUCGCAGUCGAAACUAUUAGACUCGAGUAUAGUAGGGGUAAAGGGAAUUUCCAGUGGAGCGGUGAAAUGCGUAGAGAUUGGAAAGAACACCGAUGGCGAAGGCACUUUACUGGGCUAUUACUAACACUGAGAGACGAAAGCUAGGGUAGCAAAUGGGAUUAGAUACCCCAGUAGUC